UGGCGGACGGGUGAGUAAUGUCUGGGAAACUGCCCGAUGGAGGGGGAUAACUACUGGAAACGGUAGCUAAUACCGCAUAACGUCGCAAGACCAAAGAGGGGGACCUUCGGGCCUCUUGCCAUCGGAUGUGCCCGGAUGGGAUUAGCUAGUAGGUGGGGUAACGGCUCACCUAGGCGACGAUCCCUAGCUGGUCUGAGAGGAUGACCAGCCACACUGGAACUGAGACACGGUCCAG
Molecule: ribosomal RNA, 235 nt
Filed under: uncultured bacterium
Lineage: Bacteria
Description: partial 16S ribosomal RNA
Rfam family: Bacterial small subunit ribosomal RNA
Source: RNAcentral